This is a long non-coding RNA of Sapajus apella (tufted capuchin), 361 nucleotides long. RefSeq lists it as uncharacterized. Lineage: Eukaryota; Metazoa; Chordata; Mammalia; Primates; Cebidae. The transcript has 4 exons. The record is from RefSeq and is a predicted model, not a curated record.
CACCCUGAUUUCCCAUGGCGCCAGGUCUCUUCUCCAGCCUCCACCUGCCUGUCUGCUCCCAGAGCUGAGACAUGGCCACCCAGCCCCUAGUCACUCCUCUGUUCAUCUUAUGUAACAUAUAAAUUGGGAACAGGAGGAUAGAACUUUUGAUGAGCUCAGGAUUCAUAUUUUUGGUGGGUGGGAGUGGAGAAUAGGCUGGUCUUAGGGUGUUGGAUGGGGUGAAGACAGCUUCUCUGAGACAGGAGCCAGGUUGCUGAUGGAAUAUGAGAGAGGUGCAUAUUUGAGCAAAACUGCCCUUCCCUGGUUCUCUGGCCAGUCUUCCUGGUAAGGAGUCCUCCCCGGGAGCCCCAAAGUGCAUAUU